This 332-nucleotide long non-coding RNA is filed under the name Mytilus galloprovincialis (Mediterranean mussel). The record is from RNAcentral. Lineage: Eukaryota; Metazoa; Mollusca; Bivalvia; Mytilida; Mytilidae.
AUUACUUUCGUCUGUUUAUACGCGAACAUCGAAUAAAGUUCUAAGAAAGGGGUGUGACGGAUGAGAUCGUAUCGAGCACAAGAACAUAUAAUGUAUAAUUACUGUAUAAUAUAAAAAUAAGAUGUUGUAUGAUAGUCAAUGAGACCACAAAAACGAAAACAAUUUUUGGUCAGCGUACGGCCUUCAACAAUCAGCAAAAUCUAUAUUGCAUAUCAACCUAUAACGGGCAUUACUAAAGUAAAACAAUUUAAACUAGUAAACUAACAGUCCGAGUUAUGUACAAAAUCAUGAACACAACGUAACCACUAAAAAAAAAGACAGAAAACACAGAC